UACGUAGGGACCGAGCGUUGUCCGGAUUCAUUGGGCGUAAAGAGCUCGUAGGCGGCUGUUCAAGUCGAACGUGAAAACUCGGAGCUCAACUCCGAGCCUGCGUUCGAUACUGGACGGCUAGAGUCUGGUAGGGGGAUCUGGAAUUCCUGGUGUAGCGGUGGAAUGCGCAGAUAUCUGGAGGAACACCGGUGGCGAAGGCGGCAUCCUGGACCGGCAUUGACGCUGAGGCGCGAAAGCCAGGGGAGCAAACGGG
This 253-nucleotide ribosomal RNA is filed under the name uncultured bacterium. RNAcentral's name for it is "partial 16S ribosomal RNA". It matches the Rfam family "Bacterial small subunit ribosomal RNA", at positions 524 to 776 of the family's 1533-position model. The record is from RNAcentral.